AGCGAACGCUGGCGGCAGGCUUAACACAUGCAAGUCGAGCGGGCGUAGCAAUACGUCAGCGGCAGACGGUGAGUAACGCGUGGGAACGUACCUUUGGUUCGGAACAACACAGGGAAACUUGUGCUAAUACCGGAUAAGCCCUUACGGGGAAAGAUUUAUCGCCGAAAGAUCGGCCCGCGUCUGAUUAGCUAGUCGGUAGGGUAAUGGCCUACCAAGGCGACGAUCAGUAGCUGGUCUGAGAGGAUGAUCAGCCACAUUGGGACUGAGACACGGCCCAAACUCCUACGGGAGGCAGCAGUGGGGAAUAUUGGACAAUGGGGGCAACCCUGAUCCAGCCAUGCCGCGUGAGUGAUGAAGGCCCUAGGGUUGUAAAGCUCUUUUGUGCGGGAAGAUAAUGACGGUACCGCAAGAAUAAGCCCCGGCUAACUUCGUGCCAGCAGCCGCGGUAAU
RNAcentral lists this ribosomal RNA (450 nucleotides) under uncultured bacterium. RNAcentral describes it as "bacterial SSU rRNA". It matches the Rfam family "Bacterial small subunit ribosomal RNA", at positions 29 to 524 of the family's 1533-position model. The record is from RNAcentral.